UGAGGCGUGGCUUCCGGAGCUAACGCGUUAAGUCGACCGCCUGGGGAGUACGGCCGCAAGGUUAAAACUCAAAUGAAUUGACGGGGGCCCGCACAAGCGGUGGAGCAUGUGGUUUAAUUCGAUGCAACGCGAAGAACCUUACCUACUCUUGACAUCCAGAGAACUUUCCAGAGAUGGAUUGGUGCCUUCGGGAACUCUGAGACAGGUGCUGCAUGGCUGUCGUCAGCUCGUGUUGUGAGAUGUUGGGUUAAGUCCCGCAACGAGCGCAACCCUUAUCCUUUGUUGCCAGCGGUCCGGCCGGGAACUCAAAGGAGACUGCCAGUGAUAAACUGGAGGAAGGUGGGGAUGACGUCAAGUCAUCAUGGCCCUUACGAGUAGGGCUACACACGUGCUACAAUGGCGCAUACAAAGAGAAGCGACCUCGCGAGAGCAAGCGGACCUCAUAAAGUGCGUCGUAGUCCGGAUUGGAGUCUGCAACUCGACUCCAUGAAGUCGGAAUCGCUAGUAAUCGUAGAUCAGAAUGCUACGGUGAAUACGUUCCCGGGCCUUGUACACACCGCCCGUCACACCAUGGGAGUGGGUUGCAAAAGAAGUAGGUAGCUUAACCUUCGGGAGGGCGCUUACCACUUUGUGAUUCAUGACUGGGGUGAAGUCGUAACA
RNAcentral lists this ribosomal RNA (660 nucleotides) under Enterobacter sp. RNAcentral's name for it is "partial 16S ribosomal RNA". It matches the Rfam family "Bacterial small subunit ribosomal RNA", at positions 833 to 1493 of the family's 1533-position model. The record is from RNAcentral. Lineage: Bacteria; Pseudomonadati; Pseudomonadota; Gammaproteobacteria; Enterobacterales; Enterobacteriaceae. RNAcentral also lists the same sequence under 1 other name.